Molecule: ribosomal RNA, 253 nt
Filed under: uncultured bacterium
Lineage: Bacteria
Description: partial 16S ribosomal RNA
Rfam family: Bacterial small subunit ribosomal RNA
Source: RNAcentral
UACGUAGGGCGCAAGCGUUAUCCGGAAUUAUUGGGCGUAAAGAGCUCGUAGGCGGUCUGUCGCGUCUGGUGUGAAAAUCCAGGGCUUAACCCUGGACCUGCAUCGGGUACGGGCAGACUAGAGUGCGGUAGGGGAGAUCGGAAUUCCUGGUGUAGCGGUGAAAUGCGCAGAUAUCAGGAGGAACACCGGUGGCGAAGGCGGAUCUCUGGGCCGUAACUGACGCUGAGGAGCGAAAGCAUGGGGAGCGAACAGG